CCUACGGGUGACAGCAGUGGGGGAUAUUGCACAAUGGGGGAAACCCUGAUGCAGCGACGCCGCGUGUGGGAAGACGGUCCUCUGGAUUGUAAACCACUGUCCCCAGGGACGAAGAUGACGGUACCUGGGGCGGAAGCUCCGGCUAACUACGUGCCAGCAGCCGCGGUAACACGCCGGGAGCGAGCGUGGUCCGGAAUAACUGGGUGAAACGGGAGCGUAGGCGGGGAUGCAAGUUGGGUGUCAAAACUACCGGCUCAACUGGUAGUCGCACUCAAAACUGCAGAUCUUGAGUGAAGUAGAGGCAGGCGGAAUUCGUAGUGUAGCGGUGAAAUGCGUAGAUAUUAGGAGGAACACCAGUGGCGAAGGCGGCCUGCUGGGCUUUUACUGACGCUGAGGCUCGAAAGUGUGGGGAGCAAACAGGAUUAGAUACCCCGGUAGUC
RNAcentral lists this ribosomal RNA (440 nucleotides) under uncultured bacterium. Its description in RNAcentral is "partial 16S ribosomal RNA". It matches the Rfam family "Bacterial small subunit ribosomal RNA", at positions 338 to 795 of the family's 1533-position model. The record is from RNAcentral.